Molecule: long non-coding RNA, 1644 nt
Organism: Stegostoma tigrinum
Lineage: Eukaryota; Metazoa; Chordata; Chondrichthyes; Orectolobiformes; Stegostomatidae
Exons: 3
Source: RefSeq, a predicted model, not a curated record
GAUGAACACAGCAGGCCAAGCAGCAUCUCAGGAGCACAAAAGCUGACGUUUCGGGCUUAGACCCUUCAUCAGAGAGCAUAUUUGCACAUAGCCCUGAUCUACUUCUGCUCAUUGGCGUAUCCAGUGGAAAAGUAGCUUAAGAGUUAUGCAUCGUGACAAUGUGAAAUGCAUUGUACCAACCAAUAGCCAUGAAAGGGCAGAGAAGAUACAGCUACAAUUUCACUGAUUGUGACCUGCAGCAUCUCAUUGAUGAACCUGAACAGGGGAGAAGCUGAAUACCACCACUUAUAGAACAUGAAGUUUCUGAAGAAGUACUGACCCAAAACAUCAACUUUCCUACUCCUCUGAUGCUGCCUGGCCAGCUGUGUUUCUCCAGCUCCAAACUGUGUUAUCUCUGACUCCAGCAUCAGCAGUUCUGACUCUUUCUGACAAAGUUCUCAUCACUGUGAUUGCAAGCAUGCAUUAUAUAAAGGACAAUGACUUGACCGGAGCAUACAAGUGAACUUCCCUAUUGCCAACUUCCCUUUCUUCUUUGGAGGCCCUGGAUUUGAAGUCUGGAUGAUGUUAUGUAGACGUUGCUUGAAAUGAUUGAAGCCCCUGAGAGAGUAAUGUGAAGAAAUGGGGGUCUGACUUUGUGAAUAAAUAAAUUGCAAACCAUUAGCUGUUACAUAACCCGUCAACAGAAAGCAAUAUUUGAAAAAAGGGCUAAGUGCAUUUUGAUGAAUGUUAUUCCAAAGGUGGAAAAAUAAGUUGCCAUCCCAUUACUUCUGUUCUAAUGUGGCUGACAUAUAUGCUUAAACUAUAGCUUGGAAUACAAUAAUAGCAACUUGCACUGAUGCACUACCGACAACAUUGUGAAUCAUCCUAAGGCACUUUACAGCUGUGGUAACAAAUAAAAUUUGACUGAAUUUCUUUUGAACAAAAGACUAAACCAAGUUCUAAGUAUUGUUUAAAGGACAGGGGAGAGCGAGAGAUGGUUUACAGAGGGAGCUCCAGAGUUUAUGAGCCAGCCAGUUGAAAAAAGGGUCAUCAAUUGUAGAGCAAGUAAAAUAGGGCAAGGAUAUGAGGCCAGAAAUGUAGAAGCUCAGAGUUCAGAGAGGGUUGAAAAUGUUACACAGAUAAGGAGGAGAAAGGCUAUUGAGGGAUUUGAUAACUAGAAUGAGAAACUUAUAAUUAAAGCAUUGUCAAUCCUGGAGUGAAUGUAGGCCAGUGAGCUCAGAGAAAUGAGUGAAUGAGAUAGCUAAUUUGUUCAAUGUGUGUUAGGAUACAAGCACCAGAUCUUAGUAUGAGCUAAAAUUAAUGAAGGGAGAUGAUCGCAGGAGGCUGGCUCGGAGAGCGUUAGAAUAUUCAGGUCCAGGGGUAACAAAGAUGAGGGUGAACAUUUCAGCAGCUAAUGAGCUAAGGCAGUGGUGAAAUUGGACAACAUUACAGAGGUCCAAACUGUGGUGUUGGUAAUGGCAUAGUAUGUUUGGGAAGUGAACAGCAGCAUGUCUUUUAAAACAUAUAUUACACAUAGGCAUGAUGCCAGUUGUUACAUACACCAGUUUGUUUUGAAAUUAUGUUGACUGUAAGUAGAUUAUACCUGACAGCAAAACCACAGUGGAAAACAGCUGUGCUUGUCUUCAGCAAAGAAUUGCAUUAUGU